GAAAUGCGAUAAGUAGUGUGAAUUGCAGAAUUCAGUGAAUCAUCGAAUCUUUGAACGCACAUUGCGCCCUUUGGUAUUCCAAAGGGCAUGCCUGUUCGAGCGUCAUUUGUACCCUCAAGCUUUGCUUGGUGUUGGGCGUCUUGUCUCUAGCUUUGCUGGAGACUCGCCUUAAAGUAAUUGGCAGCCGGCCUACUGGUUUCGGAGCGCAGCACAAGUCGCACUCUCUAUCAGCAAAGGUCUAGCAUCCAUUAAGCCUUUUUUCAACUUUUUACCUCGGAUCAGGUAGGGAUACCCGCUGAACUUAAGC
This 307-nucleotide unclassified non-coding RNA is filed under the name plant metagenome. RNAcentral describes it as "partial contains 5.8S ribosomal RNA, internal transcribed spacer 2, and large subunit ribosomal RNA". The stretch from base 1 to 105 matches the Rfam family "5.8S ribosomal RNA", at positions 50 to 154 of the family's 154-position model. The record is from RNAcentral.